CCUACGGGUGGCAGCAGUGGGGAAUAUUGGGCAAUGGGCGUAAGCCUGAUCCAGCCAAGUCGCGUGAGGGAUGAAGGUUCUAUGGAUCGUAAACCUCUUUUAUAAGGGAAUAAAGUGUGGGACGUGUCCUGUUUUGUAUGUACCUUAUGAAUAAGGAUCGGCUAACUCCGUGCCAGCAGCGGCGGUAAUACGGAGGAUCCGAGCGUUAUCCGGAUUGAUUGGGUUUAAAGGGUGCGUAGGCGGACUUUUAAGUCAGCGGUGAAAGUUUGUGGCUCAACCAUAGAAUUGCCGUUGAAACUGGGAGGCUUGAGUAUGUUUGAGGCAGGCGGAAUGCGUGGUGUAGCGGUGAAAUGCUUAGAUAUCACGCAGAACCCCGAUUGCGAAGGCAGCCUGCCAAGCCAUGACUGACGCUGAUGCACGAAAGCGUGGGGAUCAAACAGGAUUAGAUACCCGAGUAGUC
This 460-nucleotide ribosomal RNA is filed under the name uncultured bacterium. RNAcentral describes it as "partial 16S ribosomal RNA". It matches the Rfam family "Bacterial small subunit ribosomal RNA", at positions 338 to 795 of the family's 1533-position model. The record is from RNAcentral.